GACGAACGCUGGCGGCGUGCUUAACACAUGCAAGUCGAACGGUGAACGAGGGAGCUUGCUCCCUCCGGAUCAGUGGCGAACGGGUGAGUAACACGUGAGCAAUCUGCCCCGAACUCUGGGAUAAGCGUUGGAAACGACGUCUAAUACCGGAUACGACGCGGGAGGGCAUCCUCUCCGCGUGGAAAGAACUUCGGUUCGGGAUGAGCUCGCGGCCUAUCAUCUUGUUGGUGAGGUAACGGCUCACCAAGGCGACGACGGGUAGCCGGCCUGGGAGGGUGACCGGCCACACUGGGACUGCGACACGGCCCAGACUCCUACGGGAGGCAGCAGUGGGGAAUAUUGCACAAUGGGCGCAAGCCUGAUGCAGCAGCGCCGCGUGAGGGACGACGGCCUUCGGGUUGUAAACCUCUUUUAGCAGGGAAGAAGCGAAAGUGACGGUACCUGCAGAAAAAGCACCGGCUAACUACGUG
RNAcentral lists this ribosomal RNA (470 nucleotides) under uncultured bacterium. RNAcentral's name for it is "partial 16S ribosomal RNA". It matches the Rfam family "Bacterial small subunit ribosomal RNA", at positions 28 to 507 of the family's 1533-position model. The record is from RNAcentral.